AGCAAUUCCUCUAAUCCUUUCUCUAAUGAUGCCUUUCUCUUGGAGUAGGUGUCCAGUUUGUUGAGAUCUAGCUUCCACAACUUGGGUGUCCAUAUGGCUUUGCUCCUACAACUGUUGCAUGUCCUCUUCCAAUCGAGACAUCAAUGCAUAACAAUUCUCUCUUUCUGCUUUGAAGUUCUUUGUUUGUUGAGCCAUUUAAUUCUCAAGGGUAGUUAGUUUCCUCUUUAAACUUGUGACUUCUUUGUCAUAUUUCCCUUUUAGUUGUUGAACCAACCCCGCCCGUCCUUCUGCGUUCUUUACCAACUUUGCCCGGGCUUUUGCCAAUUCAUCUUCGGCUUUUUCCAAAUCGGCCCCAUAAUCGCACACUUUCCGCCUAAGACCGUUUAUAAGUUUUUCAUCUGUUCUGCUCCAUGCCGGGUUUUCAGCAGCUAUUUUCAUCCUCUGAAUUUGGGCUCGGGGGGAUUCAUUCUCUCGGGCCAACUUUUUCUUCUCUCCUUUAUCAGCAGCAGCCUGCAAACCACUAUCAAAUUUAGUGUCUCUAAUUUGCCCUUUUAGCUUUCUUAUGGUAGCCCUAUAGUCAUUCUCUUUGUUCAACCAAGCCUAGUGUUCUUGUGAUGAGUCAACAAACUCUUGGAUGUGGGGCCUUUUUGGUUGGCCUUUCAGAUUCAUCAUUGGCCACAAUUCUCUUCCCAUACAAAGCAAGAUAACCUGGUGAAACCUCAUCCCUGGAUAAAUCACGCACUCGAGUUUAUGUCCUCAGAUACUGGCAUUCGCUCGAAAUCUGGCGAACCACUUCUUUAGGAAAUUGAGCCUCGGAGCGGAUUCAACUACAUGAAUACUAAGAUCUUCGUCUUUGGGGACUAUCUGUCAUCUUUCAAGUUGUCUCAGAACCCGGCAUAGGGCAUAGGGUUGGAUGCUUCAGAGACCCAUUAGCAGGAAGUAAGGACCGGUAGUAGGCAUGUAUACGAUCUCAUGAAUGGGAAGACAACCAGUAUCCACUCUAUCUGAUUCGCAGUCAUGGAACGGAGGUGGGAUAUCCAAUUUUUAACUCCUUCUGGUAUUUCAAAUCCAGUCACCCGAGUACCAAACUCUUCAAUGCAACUUUUUCCCAUGGACCCGUAGUUCAUGUAUCGGGGGCGGUGGUAGAGGUGUUCAAUCAUCCACAUUUGUAAUAAUAGAUUGCACCCCUCAAAAAACUCUAUUCGGGCCUUACAUGUUGUAAGAGCUCGGAAUAUUUCUGCUAUGAUCAUGGGCUCGAGGGUGCUCUUGGCAUUGGUAAUCAAAACUUUGACGAUUCCAGCUAAUCGCAAAUCAAUAUUCCCAUCUUCCCUUGGAAAUACUGAGAGGCCUAGAAAUACCACCAUGAAAGCAAAGCAUCUAUAUAUUUCACACUUUGAUCUAUUUCAGUUACUGCAAAGUCCAUCUUCUGGGUCAUCCAGUCCUCUUAAAUGCCCGAACCGCUGGUACAGAAAGUGUAAAGUGUAAAAUCCCUCUGUCAUAUUUGCAUUCCGGACUUGCUUGGUUAUUUUCAAUAAGUCCAAAAAUUUGUGGGGAGUAACGGCCCUUGGAGCUAUCAAUUAUUUGUGUCAUAAACCCUCUAUACUCCAAAUAUAACCCGCCAUUUCUUCCAAGGUAGUGUAAGCUCAAAAUCCAAGAAAUGCAUAACGUUGUGAGCGGGGUCCCAGAAUGUUACUAAUGCUCUGAUGAGGGUUGCCUACGUAUCCCACAUCCGGUGAGAAUCAAACCCGCGUAGUUCGGUCAGUUUUUGACAUAAUUGAAAAAUAUGACUCAUUUCGAAAUGACUUUUCCUCUUCUAAAUGAAAUUUCGGCAGAGUUGCGGGAUAUUUUGAACACCAUGUUUUUCAGAAACUGAUGAUUUUCUUUCUCACCUCAAUUUUGGUUUUUCUUGAUUUUCCUUCCCUUAUUCUAGAAACUGGUCAACAUGCAAACCGAAGCAAAUAAUUGUACAAGUAGCACGUAAAAAUGCAUCUGGAUGGUCAAAUGCACGUGACGCAAACAAGCGUUCCUACUAGGGAUCCGGUAUGAGGCUAUGUUAUUUUAGGGUUAAAACUUGGGUGUAUUGUUCUAGACCUGACUUACCCUAGCGGACAACUCGAGCCGAGGGUUCAACGUACUGGUAACCAAAAGGCCAUCCGGCUUUGUAGUUGAUCUGAUCCUCGUUCUAAAUUAGGGUGUGACUCUAACAGAAAAGAAGUCACAUCAGCGUAUACUUCCCAGAAGAUUUAGAAGACUUAGAGAGAAGAAGGGUUUUGUAACAAUUUAUAUAUAGUUCAAACAAUAUCAAAGUAGUAAAAAGCGGCAUUUAGCCUAUUAGGCUCAAACACGUAAAAAUCAGAUAAUAAACAAAGCCAAAUAUAACAAUUAUUCUAAGCUCAAAUUCUUGAACCCUGAACCAGAAAUUCUGGGUUUUUAUCCCUAGCAGAGUCGCCAGAGCUGUCAGAUCUCCUUUUUACCUGAAAGGGAUAUAAGGGAGUGUUUCCAAUUUAAGUGACAUUAAUCGAAAUGGGAUUAUUUAUUUAUUUCAGAGUCGCCACUUGGGAUAUUUAUUAUGGUGUCCAAAGUCACCGAUUUAUUUUAAAUCCCAAAUCAAGGAAAAUCAACUUUAUUUAAAAGUUCGUGAAACCAUAAAACUAGGUAAGGAAUUUUCGUUAACCCGGGAGAAGAUGUUAGGCAUUCUCGGAUUCCGUGGUUCUAGCACGGUCGAUUAACUAUUAAUAAUUGGCCAAAUUAUCUGAUUAAUUACAUAUUAUUUUAGACAUAUUGUGCAUUUUUAAUUUUUAAUAGCUUUAAAUUAUUUAUGGAAUUAUUUCUGGAAAAAGGUUAUGAUUGUCAUACACUUGCUUAUUUUGUACAUGUCGCAAAUCAUAUCACGGGAACCGUACCCACAACCAACAACAUGUGUAUUUUAUUAUUGUUCGAAGUUGUAGUCGGGUCACAUAAGAUGUGCACCUGAAUUUGGGGAAUUAGGUAUCACGACUAUGCCACGGGAACCGUACCCAUAGCCGUGAUGAUUUAUUUAACACUCGUGCCUAAAGCAAACUACGGUAUUCAUAUGAUCAUUUUUUCUAAGGUUUGAAGUCAAGUGAACGUCAAAGAAUUAUGAAAAGGGGUCGAGUAAAGUGUGAGUUCUAUUAAUGUGCGCACAUGAUCUAAAUAUGUUUUCUCUUGGAGUCAAUGAUGUCACUACAAGUUAAUGAACCAUUUUUGACAAAUUGGGCCAAGGUCGAUUGGAUCCAACAUUAUGUAAAGGAAACUAGUAAUUACUUAAUAUAAUUUUGACAAAAGGCUAAACUAAAAAAAAUCAUUUGUAUGGCAUAGAAGGGCUGGAAAGAGUUCAAACAACACAUCGGAAUCUCAAAAUCCUUGCCAAAUAUAGACAUGCACAAAUCCAGGCACCAACUAUUUUCAAAACCAUUAUACUAGCUACUUAAGUCACAUUUCAUGAACAAACAACAUAUAAUAAUCUGGGGAAUCUCAAGUUAAUAUGUACUGGUCCUAGACGUGUUUAAACAAAAUAGGCCUAGUAUUCAAACUAUGAACAAGAAAUAAUUGGGCUGCUGUAAAGAAAAGAGCUGAAACAGCUAUGAUUUAAACUAAGUAUGAAUACAUUUAUACACUAACAAUAAUAAAUGUCUUCAUUACAUUUUCACAAAUAAUUACAGGCCUUGAACUAAAUUAAGAAAAGUAAUAUGUAUAGGAUGGAAUCAAAUUGAUUUUGAAUCUGCCUAGUGAUCAAUUUAGCAACAAAUUUUGCCAUGUUCUUGAAGCUGCCUAUCAUUCACAAAAGGCUAACCAACUAGUGGCUAGAUUUUUAAAUCUGAGACUCAUGCCAAGCACUCACAAACUCUUGCAUUAUCAAAUGCCAACAAUACCAAAGCAAUGUAAGUUC
This 3910-nucleotide long non-coding RNA is filed under the name Nicotiana tabacum (common tobacco). Its description in RNAcentral is "long non-coding RNA (NTAB_LNC000690)". The record is from RNAcentral. Lineage: Eukaryota; Viridiplantae; Streptophyta; Magnoliopsida; Solanales; Solanaceae.